GAUGAACGCUGGCGGUGUGCCUAAUACAUGCAAGUCGAGCGAACAGACGAGGAGCUUACUCCUCUGACGUUAGCGGCGGACGGGUGAGUAACACGUGGAUAACCUACCUAUAAGACUGGGAUAACUUCGGGAAACCGGAGCUAAUACCGGAUAACAUGUUGAACCGCAUGGUUCAACAGUGAAAGACGGUCUUGCUGUCACUUAUAGAUGGAUCCGCGUCGCAUUAGCUAGUUGGUAAGGUAACGGCUUACCAAGGCAACGAUGCGUAGCCGACCUGAGAGGGUGAUCGGACACACUGGAACUGAGACACGGUCCAGACUCCUACGGGAGGCAGCAGUAGGGAAUCUUCCGCAAUGGGCGAAAGCCUGACGGAGCAACGCCGCGUGAGUGAAGAAGGUCUUCGGAUCGUAAAGCUCUGUUAUUAGGGAAGAACAAAUGUGUAAGUAACUAUGCACGUCUUGACGGUACCUAAUCAGAAAGCCACGGCUAACUACGUG
This 497-nucleotide ribosomal RNA is filed under the name uncultured bacterium. RNAcentral describes it as "partial 16S ribosomal RNA". It matches the Rfam family "Bacterial small subunit ribosomal RNA", at positions 28 to 507 of the family's 1533-position model. The record is from RNAcentral.